This 474-nucleotide ribosomal RNA is filed under the name uncultured bacterium. Its description in RNAcentral is "bacterial SSU rRNA". It matches the Rfam family "Bacterial small subunit ribosomal RNA", at positions 34 to 507 of the family's 1533-position model. The record is from RNAcentral.
CGCUGGCGGCGUGCUUAAUACAUGCAAGUCAACUGAACUUAAGAUAGCAAUAUUUUAAGGGAGGUGGCGCACGGGUGAGUAACACGUAGGUAAUCUGCCUUUAGGUCUGACACAACCCCGAGAAAUCGGGGCUAAUAUCAGAUGAUGCAGCGGCUCGACAUCGAGACAGUUGUUAAACCUUCGGGGCCUAAAGAUGAGCCUGCGUCUGAUUAGCUGGUUGGCGGGGUAACGGCCCACCAAGGCAACGAUCAGUAGCUGGUCUGAGAGAAUGAUCAGCCACACUGGAACUGAGACACGGUCCAGACUCCUACGGGAGGCAGCAGUAAGGAAUAUUGCUCAAUGGCCGAAAGGCUGAGGCAGCAACGCCGCGUGGAGGAUGAAAUACUUUUGUAUGUAAACUCCUGUGAGAAGGGAAAAAUAUGCAGAUUUUCUGCGUUGAUUGUACCUUCAGAGGAAGCCCCGGCUAACUACGUG